RNAcentral lists this ribosomal RNA (170 nucleotides) under Croton tricolor. Its description in RNAcentral is "5.8S ribosomal RNA". It matches the Rfam family "5.8S ribosomal RNA". From Rfam's summary of the family: 5.8S ribosomal RNA (5.8S rRNA) is a component of the large subunit of the eukaryotic ribosome. The record is from RNAcentral. Lineage: Eukaryota; Viridiplantae; Streptophyta; Magnoliopsida; Malpighiales; Euphorbiaceae.
AAAAACGACUCUCGGCAACGGAUAUCUCGGCUCUCGCAUCGAUGAAGAACGCAGCGAAAUGCGAUACUUGGUGUGAAUUGCAGAAUCCCGUGAACCAUCGAGUUUUUGAACGCAAGUUGCGCCCAAAGCCUUUCGGCUGAGGGCACGUCUGCCUGGGUGUCACGCAACAU